UGGGGAAUUUUGGACAAUGGGGGCAACCCUGAUCCAGCAAUGCCGCGUGAGUGAAGAAGGCCUUCGGGUUGUAAAGCUCUUCUGUCAGGGAAGAAACGGUAGUAGCGAAUAACUAUUACUAAUGACGGUACCUCCCAAGAAAGCACCGGCUAACUCCGUGCCAGCAGCCGCGGUAAUACGGAGGGUGCGAGCGUUGCUCGGAAUCACUGUGCGUAAAGCGUACGCAGGCUGUCGUACAAGUCGGGUGUGAAAGCCCGGGGCUCAACCCCGGAACUGCGCCCGAGACUGUAUGACUUGAAUGCGGGAGAGGGAAGCGGAAUUCCUGGUGUAGAGGUGAAAUUCGUAGAUAUCAGGAGGAACACCAGUGGCGAAAGCGGCUUCCUGGCCCGACAUUGACGCUCAUGUACGAAAGCGCGGGGAGCAAACAGGAUUAGAUACCCCAGUAGUCCCUGAGCGGGCUGGCAAGGCGCAU
RNAcentral lists this ribosomal RNA (472 nucleotides) under uncultured bacterium. Its description in RNAcentral is "bacterial SSU rRNA". It matches the Rfam family "Bacterial small subunit ribosomal RNA", at positions 355 to 825 of the family's 1533-position model. The record is from RNAcentral.